Molecule: ribosomal RNA, 315 nt
Filed under: uncultured eukaryote
Lineage: Eukaryota
Description: partial 18S ribosomal RNA
Rfam family: Eukaryotic small subunit ribosomal RNA
Source: RNAcentral
CCCUUAGACGUUCUGGGCCGCACGCGCGCUACACUGACCAGUGCAACAAGCAUCCGUCCUUGGCCGACAGGCUCGGGCAAUCUUUGAACGCUGGUCGUGAUGGGGAUAGACUUUUGCAAUUUUUGGUCUUCAACGAGGAAUUCCUAGUAAACGCAAGUCAUCAACUUGCAUUGAUUACGUCCCUGCCCUUUGUACACACCGCCCGUCGCACCUACCGAUUGAAUGGUCCGGUGAGGCCUCCGGAUUGGCGCGCACCUCGGUGCCGCCGAGAAGUUGGCUAAACCUUACCAUUUAGAGGAAGGUGAAGUCGUAACA